UCUCUUAACUGUUGAAUUGGUUGUUUUUUUUCCAUUUGUGUGUGUUUAGGCAGGAAGCAGUGAUGGUUCCAUAUGCUUGUACGGCCUGACUCAAGAAGCACCAUUAUUCACUUGGAAUAAUUCCACCAGCAACAUGCCCAUUGUGUCCAUGAUGUGGUCACGCAGUCGGCCUUCUGUUUUCUAUGUAGCUGAUGUGACAUCCAAAGUGUAUGUGUGGGAGCUGUUGACUAGUCAGGAAGGGCCAGUGGACAUUGAACACUUUACAGAUGGCAGGCUAAUGACAAUGCAUUUGUCACAUGAUCACACAACGUCACGCAGUGGAUUGCAAGGGAGACCACCAGAAAUGGUAAGUUUGCUCUUGAGAAAACCUUCAAUGUAUUCCGAAGGACUAUGAAAUCAAACUUAAAUGUUUGGGUAUUGUGGUAGUAGACUAAGGACUUUGUGCCUGGAUGAUAUGAUAUAUACACACUUUCAAGGCAAUUCUUAGCUUUGUUGCAAAAGGUCCAAAUACCUUUUCUAUUGCACUUGUCUCACCCGUACAGAAUUACUACAUAUGCAUUAUUCCCUUGAGGGUGUUAACCAUUUGCUAAGAUUUAAUUACCACAGUACAGGGUUCUCCCUAGGAUUUUUUCAAACCUGUGGGGGAAGUUUUGUUGUGAUUCACCAAC
Long non-coding RNA from Patiria miniata (bat star), 668 nucleotides. RefSeq lists it as uncharacterized. NCBI's taxonomy places the organism in Eukaryota, Metazoa, Echinodermata, Asteroidea, Valvatida, Asterinidae. The transcript has 3 exons. The record is from RefSeq and is a predicted model, not a curated record.